CCUACGGGAGGCAGCAGUGGGGGAUAUUGGGCAAUGGGCGCAAGCCUGACCCAGCAACGCCGCGUGAAGGAAGAAGGCUUUCGGGUUGUAAACUUCUUUUGUCAGGGAAGAGGAGAAGACGGGACCUGACGAAUAAGCCACGGCUAACUACGUGCCAGCAGCCGCGGUAAUACGUAGGUGGCAAGCGUUGUCCGGAUUUACUGGGUGUAAAGGGCGUGUAGCCGGGUUGACAAGUCAGAUGUGCAAUCCUGCGGCUUAACCGCAGAACUGCAUUUGAAACUGUUGAUCUUGAGUACUGGAGAGGCAUAUGGACUUCCUAGUGUAGCUGUGAAAUUCGUAGAUAUUAGGCGGAACACCAGUGGCGAAGGCGGUCUGCUGGACAGCAACUGACGGUGAGGCGCGAACGCGUGGGGAGCAAACAGGAUUAGAUACCCUAGUAGUC
This 442-nucleotide ribosomal RNA is filed under the name uncultured bacterium. Its description in RNAcentral is "partial 16S ribosomal RNA". It matches the Rfam family "Bacterial small subunit ribosomal RNA", at positions 338 to 795 of the family's 1533-position model. The record is from RNAcentral.